GUGCUCAUUUCGGCAGCACAUAUACUAAAGUUGGAAUAAUACAGAGAAGAUUAGUAUGGCCCCCGCACAAGGAUGACACACAAAUUCAUGACGCAGUCCAUUAAAAA
Small nuclear RNA from Ailuropoda melanoleuca (giant panda), 107 nucleotides. The record is from Ensembl. NCBI's taxonomy places the organism in Eukaryota, Metazoa, Chordata, Mammalia, Carnivora, Ursidae.